GCCUUCGUAGUGUAAUGGUCAACAUACUCGGCGAGUAUUCGAGAAAUCAGUGGUUCGAGUCCCGGCGAGGGCA
This 73-nucleotide transfer RNA is filed under the name Stegodyphus mimosarum. It matches the Rfam family "tRNA". Rfam says of the family: Transfer RNA (tRNA) molecules are approximately 80 nucleotides in length. Their secondary structure includes four short double-helical elements and three loops (D, anti-codon, and T loops). The record is from Rfam by way of RNAcentral. Lineage: Eukaryota; Metazoa; Arthropoda; Arachnida; Araneae; Eresidae.